This 468-nucleotide ribosomal RNA is filed under the name uncultured bacterium. RNAcentral's name for it is "partial 16S ribosomal RNA". It matches the Rfam family "Bacterial small subunit ribosomal RNA", at positions 28 to 507 of the family's 1533-position model. The record is from RNAcentral.
GACGAACGCUGGCGGCGUGCUUAACACAUGCCAGUCGAACGGAAAGGCCCUGCUUUUGUGGGGUGCUCGAGUGGCGAACGGGUGAGUAACACGUGAGUAACCUGCCCUUGACUUUGGGAUAACUUCAGGAAACUGGGGCUAAUACCGGAUAGGAGCUCCUGCUGCAUGGUGGGGGUUGGAAAGUUUCGGCGGUUGGGGAUGGACUCGCGGCUUAUCAGCUUGUUGGUGGGGUAGUGGCUUACCAAGGCUUUGACGGGUAGCCGGCCUGAGAGGGUGACCGGCCACAUUGGGACUGAGAUACGGCCCAGACUCCUACGGGAGGCAGCAGUGGGGAAUAUUGCACAAUGGGCGGUAGCCUCAUGCAGCAACGCCGCGUGCGGGAUGACGGCCUUCGGGUUGUAAACCGCUUUCGCCUGUGACGAAGCGUGAGUGACGGUAAUGGGUAAAGAAGCACCGGCUAACUACGUG